GAGGCAGCAGUGAGGAAUCUUGCACAAUGGGCGAAAGCCUGAUGCAGCGACGCCGCGUGGAGGAUGACGGUCUUCGGAUUGUAAACUCCUGUUAAACGGGAAGAAAGACUUGUUUCUAAUACAGACAAGUUAUGACGGUACCGUUAGAGAAAGCACCGGCUAACUUCGUGCCAGCAGCCGCGGUAAUACGAGGGGUGCAAGCGUUGUCCGGAAUUACUGGUUGUAAAGAGUCCGUAGGCGGGUAAAUAAGUCAUUGGUGAAAUCUCACAGCUCAACUGUGAAACUGCCUUUGAUACUGCUUAUCUUGAGUUCGGAAGAGAGAAGCGGAAUUCCAGGUGUAGUAGUGAAAUACGUAGAUAUCUGGAAGAACACCAGUGGCGAAGGCGGCUUCUUGGUCCGCAACUGACGCUGAGGCGCGAAAGCGUGGGGAGCAAACAGGAUUAGAUACCCCAGUAGUCCAAGCCG
This 465-nucleotide ribosomal RNA is filed under the name uncultured bacterium. Its description in RNAcentral is "bacterial SSU rRNA". It matches the Rfam family "Bacterial small subunit ribosomal RNA", at positions 345 to 802 of the family's 1533-position model. The record is from RNAcentral.